CACAACAGAUGUGUCCCAGUCCCAGCAAGACCAGCCCCUAGACCAGCCCCAGCAAGACCAGCCCCUAGACCAGCCCCAGCAAGACCAGCCCCUAGACCAGCCCCAGCAAGACCAGCCCCUAGACCAGCUAAUCCCACAAGACCACCAACUGAUUACACUUGAAGUAUGUCCAAUCGUCUCUCAGGCUCAGCAGCAUGUGGAGCUUCUACCACCAAGGAAAAGACAAACCCCACCAUCCAGCCCAGGCCAAGACAGACAAGCCCCACCAUCCAUCCAACCUCAACUAAAGAAAAGACAAACCACAGGUACAGGAGCCACACAAGCCCCACCCUCGACCCUGGCCAAAAAGAAGAAAACAAAAAGUUGCAAAUGCAGUCGACAGACAAUUUAUCCAUAUGAUAAAAUAUUGGAAAGACGGAUGAAUGGGGGGAAGGCAGCAGAGGUGAAAGUGCGUUGGCUACCUUGCUCUUCCUGGUAAGUGAUGGCUGAAUGUAAUUUAGUCAAUAGCUACACAGUCUUAGUGUUUUAAAACCUGGUAACUUUCAGCCUUCAAAGUGAAUUUUGAAGUAAAAGUGGGACCGCUAAUUGUUUUGGCACAAAGAACUAUCUAAGUGAACUGAACUAAACACAUGAGAACAUGUGCACACCAGCCUUCAAGUAGUCAUCUGGCUCAAGUUUGGUCAUAUGACAUCUGAAGCAAAUACAUUCUAACCUGUUUGCCCCAUACAUUUGCUAACUCUGUUUGGGCUAUUUUAUAAAGUGUUUGCUGUACAGUUAGAUAAACAGCAUACAGUUCUUUUUACAAAGUGAAACCUCCCAUUAUGAACCAAAUGUAGUCCAAUUUAAAAGGCCUG
Molecule: long non-coding RNA, 854 nt
Filed under: Carassius auratus (goldfish)
Lineage: Eukaryota; Metazoa; Chordata; Actinopteri; Cypriniformes; Cyprinidae
Description: lncRNA (ENSCARG00000013001.1)
Source: RNAcentral